RNAcentral lists this ribosomal RNA (494 nucleotides) under Scinax hayii (Hay's snouted treefrog). Its description in RNAcentral is "partial small subunit ribosomal RNA". It matches the Rfam family "Bacterial small subunit ribosomal RNA", at positions 794 to 1522 of the family's 1533-position model. The record is from RNAcentral. Lineage: Eukaryota; Metazoa; Chordata; Amphibia; Anura; Hylidae.
GCUUAACCGUAAACUUUAACUUACACCCAAAUCGCCUGGGAACUACGAGCAAUGCUUAAAACCCAAAGGACUUGACGGUGCCCCAUUCCACCUAGAGGAGCCUGUCCUAUAAUCGAUAACCCCCGUUUAACCUCACCACUCUUCGCUUGUCAGUCUGUAUACCUCCGUCGUCAGUUUACCACGUGAGCGAUCUCAGUAAGCAAAAAGGCCUUAUUCACCAAAACGUCAGGUCAAGGUGCAGCUAAUAGAGUGGGAAGAGAUGGGCUACACUCUCUAAUAUAGAAAAUACGAAAAACUACCGAUGAAACUCGAGUUAGAAGGCGGAUUUAGCAGUAAAAUGAGACAAAAGCGCUCAUUUAAACACGGCCCUGGGGUGUGUACACACCGCCCGUCACCCUCUUCGAAACCUAAAGAAUAGUAUGUAACACCCUAUUACCCAUAAAGAAGAGGCAAGUCGUAACAUGGUAAGCUUACCGGAAGGUGUGCUUGGAAAC